CCCUUAGACGUUCUGGGCCGCACGCGCGCUACACUGACCAGUGCAACAAGCAUCCGUCCUUGGCCGACAGGCUCGGGCAAUCUUUGAACGCUGGUCGUGAUGGGGAUAGACUUUUGCAAUUUUUGGUCUUCAACGAGGAAUUCCUAGUAAACGCAAGUCAUCAACUUGCAUUGAUUACGUCCCUGCCCUUUGUACACACCGCCCGUCGCACCUACCGAUUGAAUGGUCCGGUGAAGCCUCCGGAUUGGCGCGCACCUCGGUGCCGCCGAGAAGUUGGCUAAACCUUACCAUUUAGAGGAAGGUGAGNUCGUAACA
This 315-nucleotide ribosomal RNA is filed under the name uncultured eukaryote. Its description in RNAcentral is "partial 18S ribosomal RNA". It matches the Rfam family "Eukaryotic small subunit ribosomal RNA", at positions 1470 to 1796 of the family's 1831-position model. The record is from RNAcentral.